AUUCUCAUAGUACAACACAUUAAGGACAGAGGUCCCAUAUGGGGAGCAAGUGCACAGUGACUCUUGGUGUUGACUUAACAAAUGACACUCUUGUUUAUGACGUCAGUUAUCACCCGAGGCUCUUGUCAUGAGCUGCCAAGGCAGCAUGUUAUUUUCUCUCUAAGGUAGAAGGGGACCUCAUCUGCCCCAUGUAGCAGGGUAGGUAGGACAGAGGCUUGAGGAGAUGGAGAGCUUAAGAUUGAACUAAGGAUAAAAGCACAACAGGUAUUGCUGAUAAUGAUAACAGCUUAGAAAUAUGCUAGAUCACACGAUUUUUCCCUACUGGUGUGAUUCAGCUUGGGUGCAAACAUGGAGAUGAACAAAAUGUAUUCAUUCAUCAAGACAGGUGGCUGAGUUCAUCCAGUCUAGGCUUUUCCAGGUAUAGUCCAUAGAAGAACAGAGACCAGCAGCACAAAUGGACUACGAGAGGCACUGUCGGGGAGGAGGGAGCGAGUGAGAUCAGCACAGAAGCAGUGACAACGUGGACAUUAGCUGCCAGCAGAGAGCACCCAGCACCCCGCCCGCUCUCAGGACAAGUGCAGAGAGAGCCAGCGAGACCCAAGGAGGGCAGCACUGGUUAUGUUAGAAGGUUUGGGUGGCCCCAGGGAGAGGCCCGUGGGACAUGUGGAGGGCUGUUCUGCAGCUCAGCUGUGUUGUCACUUCUCCACCAGCUGUGCAAGGCAGCAGCCACUACUGAAACCAUUUUACUUCCCAUUAGACUCUCCUUCAGCCUCUUCGACUUCUGAGCCAGAGUCCAAGGUCAAGUGAAAGCCAUGUAGGAGUUCACCGUUUUGUCGCUGGGGGAAGAUGGAAGUUCUUGGCAGAGGUUCCCACCACCAAGUUACCAAGGCAGUGAAUGCACAAAGUGAAAAUGACUGACAGCUGUGUCUAGAAUGUAUUAAUAAUAUUUUAAAAACUACACAUCCAGGGCAAAACUUGCCCUUAAUAGUACACAAACCUUGUCCUCAAAGGUCUAAAUGAAAGUAAAGAGUACAUAUCAGUAAAAAGCAUCUAAAAACUGUGGGGAAAUUAUGGAUGAAAAAAGGAAGAUAUGAAAGCAAAACUUUAUCUUAUUAGAGGCAGUAGUUUAAAAAAUUAUCAAGGGGGCCAGUGCUGUGGUGCUCUAGGUUAAUCCUCCACCUGCAGCGCCGGCAUCCCAUAUGGGUGGCAGUUCUAGUCCUGGUUGCUCCUCUUCCAGUCCAGCUCUCUGCUGUGGCACGGGAAGACAGUGGAGGAUGGCCCAGGUCCUUGGGCCCUGCACCUGCAUGGGAGACCAGGAGAAGCACCUGGCUCCUGGCUUCGGAUUGGCAUAGCUCGGCCGUAGCAGCCAUUUGGGGAGUGAACCAAGGAAGACCUUUCUCUCUGUCUCUCUGUCUCACUGUCUAACUCUGCCUGUCAAAUAAAUAAAUAAAAUCUUUAAAAAAAUUAUCAAGCCAAGAAUACAAGUCUUCUAUAACUUUAAACAAAUCUCUAUUUUUCCUUAUUUCUGCUAUAAGCAAUUCCAAGAACGCUUAUUUUCAUUCUUGCUACUUACAUCAUUAGUUUAGUAUUUAAUGACUUUUUAAAAUUAUAAACAUGCAUCUAUUGCCUUGUACUAUUUACUUUCCACCUACGGUGUGAGGUUUUCUUAGCUGUGCAGUAUAGAAGGGUGUCACCUCUACAAUACAGACACCAUCAUUCCCUUAAAAAUGAAAAGAUUACAGCAGAGUAGUUCUGUACUUUCCUUAUCCUAUAUGUCUAGCAACAUCUUGAUAGAGGUCAAAUUCUAUCCUCAGAAGCUAUAAUUAGACAUUUGGCUUUAGGAGCUGGUCGUUUCCUUUGAUCAUCAAUAAAACUGUCCCUGCACCAAGGGGAUGACAUUUUUCACAGAUCAGAUGGACAUUUUUUUUUUUUUUAAAGAUUUAUUUAUUUAAUUGAAAGAGUUACACAGAGAGAGGAGAGGCAGAGAGAGAGAGAGGUCUUCCACCCGAUGGUUCACUCCCUAGAUGGCUGCAAAAGCCAAGGACUUGGGCCAUCUUCUACUGCUUUUGCAGGCCACAGCAGAGAGCUGGAUUGGAAGAGGAGCAGCUGGGACUAGAACCAGCGCCCAUGUGGGAUGCCAGCACUUCAGGCCAGGACGUUAACCCGCUGAGCCACAGUGCCAGCCCUGACAAUCAUUUCUUAAAAGGUCAUUACUCUGGGUUGGCAAGGGUUUGGGAAGAAUAGGCACUUUUGAAUAUUUUUGUUAGACCUUUAAAUCAGUACUUCUUUCUGAAAGAUAAUUUGGAAAAGUGAUCCAGAUUCUAAAAAUAUCUGUAUUGGGGCCAGUGCGGUUAAAGCACUGCUUGUGAUGCCAGCAUCCCAUAUCAGAGUGCCGGUUCGAGUCCUGGCUGCUUGGCUCCUAACCCAGCUUCCUGCUAAUGUAUCUAGGAAGGCAGCAUAUGCCGGCCUAGUAUUUGGGCCCCUGCCACCCAUUUGGGAGACCUAGAUGGAGUUUCUGCCUGCAGGCUUUGACUGGCUGAGACCUGGUUGUUGCAGCAAUUUGAGGAGUGAACCAGCAGGUGGAAGAUCUCUUUCUGUCUUGGAAGCAGAGCAGCCAGAACUAAAAUCAGUACUCUGAUAUGAGAUGUUGUUGUUACAAGCAGCAACUUAACCCGCUGUGUCACAAAGCUGGCAACAAUAAAUGUGUCUUUUAAUUCUAUUUUUCCAUAAACUUUCUGAAGACCCAUUUUUUAGUCAUUAAAUAAUAAUGUGUAAAAAAAUUCAGUGACAGGGAAAAAUACAGUAAUCAGUCAAUUUUAGUUUAUUUAAUGAUAAACCCAAAUGUGAAGAGAAAUUAUUCCUGAAUAAAGGGAUUAUGAGUGAUUUGAUUUUUAGCUUUAUCUUUGUGUUUUCCACAUUGUGUAACUUUUUUGUGAUGAACAUAUAUUAUUUUGUUACCACAUCUUUUAAGUAUUAAAAAUGAUUUCAGAAAUCCAGACUUUUAAGAUUAUUUAUAUUUUGCAUGCUUGUAAUUAGAAUCAUAAAAUUUCACAGUGGAAAGAGAUCAUAAAGGGGCAAGCACUUAGUGCAGAGAUUGUCGCCACUUGGGAUUCCGGCAGCCCAUAUCAGAGUAAUUGGUCUGAGUCCUGCCAAUUGUGCUUUGGAUCUAGCUUCUUGCUAAUGUGAAUCCUGGGGGGAAGAAGUGAUGGCUUAAGUACCUGCAUGGGAGAACCAGAUGGAGUUCCUGGCUCCUGGCCCUGGUCGGGUCCAGCCCUGGAUAUUGUAGGCACUGGGGAGUGAACCAGCAGAUAGAAGAUUUCUCUUUCUCUCUCUGUCUCUCAGCUUUACAAAUAAAUAAAAAUAAAUAAAUAAUCUUGGAAAAAACAGAAGAAAGAAACUGUAGGUAUACAUGGGGCUUUCAAAAUGUUUAUGAAAAAUGUGAAUUGUGAAAAAUCUAUACAUUUCAAUUUUUUUCCCAGAAUAAAUUUAGCUUUUAAUUCCAUUAUCCACAAACAUUUUGAAGCACCCUCAUAUUCUGGUACAAACUCUACAUUUAAAGUUUGGUCUCUAGAAAUUUUUUUUUUUUUUUGACAGGCAGAGUGGACAGUGAGAGAGAGAGACAGAGAGAAAGGUCUUCCUUUGCCGUUGGUUCACCCUCCAAUGGCCGCCGCGGCCAGCGCGCUGCAGCCGGCGCACCGCGCUGAUCCGAUGGCAGGAGCCAGGAGCCAGGUGCUUUUCCUGGUCUCCCAUGGGAUGCAGGGCCCAAGCACCUGGG
Molecule: non-coding RNA, 3775 nt
Organism: Oryctolagus cuniculus (rabbit)
Lineage: Eukaryota; Metazoa; Chordata; Mammalia; Lagomorpha; Leporidae
Source: RefSeq, a predicted model, not a curated record